Molecule: ribosomal RNA, 487 nt
Filed under: uncultured bacterium
Lineage: Bacteria
Description: partial 16S ribosomal RNA
Rfam family: Bacterial small subunit ribosomal RNA
Source: RNAcentral
ACUCAAAUGAAUUGACGGGGACCUGCACAAGCGGUGGAGCGUGUGGUUUAAUUCGAUAGCAAGCGAAGAACCUUACCCAGGCUUGACAUCUCUGGAAAGUCCCGGAAACGGGACCGUGCCGCAAGGAACCAGAUGACAGGUGCUGCACGGUUGUCGUCAGCUCGUGCUGUGAAGUGUCCCGUUCAGUCGGUUAACGAGCGCAACCCCUAUCCUGUGUUAAAUAUCUCACAGGAAACUGCCCCAGUUAAUGGGGAGGAAGGCGGGGAUGACGUCAAAUCAGCGUGGCUCUUACGCCUGGGGCGACACACGCGCUACAAUGGGGAGUAACAAUGGGUUGCCAAGCCGCGAGGCGGAGCUAAUCCCACCAAACCUCCCCCCAGUUCGGAUUGGAGGCUGCAACUCGCCUCCAUGAAGUCGGAAUCGCUAGUAACGGCCGGUCAGCCAUACGGCCGUGAAUACGUUCUCAGGUCUUGUACACACCGCCCGU